CUACGUGCCAGCAGCCGCGGUAAUACGUAGGUGGCAAGCGUUGUCCGGAAUUAUUGGGCGUAAAGCGCGCGCAGGCGGAUUGGUCAGUCUGUCUUAAAAGUUCGGGGCUUAACCCCGUGAUGGGAUGGAAACUGCCAGUCUAGAGUAUCGGAGAGGAAAGUGGAAUUCCUAGUGUAGCGGUGAAAUGCGUAGAUAUUAGGAAGAACACCAGUGGCGAAGGCGACUUUCUGGACGAAAACUGACGCUGAGGCGCGAAAGCCAGGGGAGCGAACGGGAUUAGAUACCCCGGUAGUCCUGGCCGUAAACGAUGGGUACUAGGUGUAGGAGGUAUCGACCCCUUCUGUGCCGGAGUUAACGCAAUAAGUACCCCGCCUGGGGAGUACGACCGCAAGGUUGAAACUCAAAGGAAUUGACGGGGGCCCGCACAAGCGGUGGAGUAUGUGGUUUAAUUCGACGCAACGCGAAGAACCUUACCAGGUCUUGACAUUGAKGACAGAACUAGAGAUAG
RNAcentral lists this ribosomal RNA (508 nucleotides) under uncultured bacterium. RNAcentral describes it as "bacterial SSU rRNA". It matches the Rfam family "Bacterial small subunit ribosomal RNA", at positions 501 to 1009 of the family's 1533-position model. The record is from RNAcentral.